Molecule: ribosomal RNA, 537 nt
Filed under: Triticum aestivum (bread wheat)
Lineage: Eukaryota; Viridiplantae; Streptophyta; Magnoliopsida; Poales; Poaceae
Description: partial small subunit ribosomal RNA
Source: RNAcentral
AUGGCGGACCGAGCGGAGUCAUCAGCAGCGGGCGGAACAGGGAAAAAUCUUGAGGAAUUGCUGCACCACCUGGAUCUCCAAGAUGACGAACUUGAUGAUGUGGUUGUAGGGGAAGAAGAGGUGAAGAAGUAUGCAGCGGAUGCUAGGUGGCUGGCAAUUGCGAAGGCGAACACUACUCGCACUUUUAGUUCAUCGGCGAUGUUCGAGUGCAUGAAAUCGAUCUGGUCGCUGGCACACGUCCUGACGUACAGAGAGGCGGGAGAAAAUUUGUUCAUCUUUCAGAUGUUUUGUCUUGGGGACUGGAAGAAGGUAGUGCAUGGAGGCCCAUCGCUUUUCAGGGGGAUGGGGAUGCUGAUAGAAGACUACGAUGGGAAGAAGGAGCCAACAUCUUUUGAAUUUGAUGGUUUAUACGUGUGGGCUCAAAUCCAUAAUAUACCAGAGCUCUACCGCAAAGCGGAGGUUGUUGAUCAACUCGCCCGUCGUAUUGGCAGGGUGAAAGAAGUGCAGCUCGCGCCUCGCUUGUUUUAUGAGGGAGAU